CCCUGCCAUUUGUACACACCGCCCGUCGCACCUACCGAUUGAAUGAUUCGGUGAAACUUUCAGACCGAAGCGACGACACCCUCGGGUGACUUUGCAUUGGGAAGUUAUUUAAACCUCAUCAUUUAGAGGAAGGUGAAGUCGUAACAAGGUUUC
This 153-nucleotide ribosomal RNA is filed under the name uncultured eukaryote. Its description in RNAcentral is "partial small subunit ribosomal RNA". It matches the Rfam family "Eukaryotic small subunit ribosomal RNA", at positions 1651 to 1803 of the family's 1831-position model. The record is from RNAcentral.